AAGGAAGAGCCGGAAGCUGGACGCCCCUCUGGGAAGCAGCAGUAAAGUCUUGCUCUGAUGUGCUGGCUGAGGAAGGAUGCCACUUGCAGUUCUGAGGGGCAUGUGUGCAGGGUCAGCCACCCUCCACUUUCUCCUUCUUCUACCAGGAAACCUGAUGGAAACAGGGAGAAGCAUGCCUCAUUUCUUCAUGAAUGAUGCUGACGAACCUUGUCCCUGAAACUACUUGUUCCAAGCCUCCUUCUAUCCAUCCUGAAGGUAAAUGAAAGCAUCAGCAAAGAUAAAAUGAGGAGAAAGCAGAAAUAAAACUUCCAGCUCUACUUCUAAAGGUUGGGGAAAAUGUCAUGCACAUAAGGCCUCCACUGGUUUUUGAAUCAGAGGACAAAACUGGGAUUUUUUUGGUCUAAUAAUCUAAUCUUCUGUACGAAGACCCCAUUAAAACUAUUCUGAAGGAUCACACUUGAGCCACAUUUUCAUUGGUAACUUCAUUCUGUCUACCACUCCAACUAACUAGAAAAGCAGUUCUGAAAGGACCUUUAAGCACAACCUCUAUUUUCUGC
RNAcentral lists this long non-coding RNA (557 nucleotides) under Zalophus californianus (California sea lion). RNAcentral's name for it is "lncRNA (ENSZCAG00015001568.1)". Lineage: Eukaryota; Metazoa; Chordata; Mammalia; Carnivora; Otariidae. The record is from RNAcentral.